GACGAACGCUGGCGGCGCGCUUAACACAUGCAAGUCGAACGGAAAGGCCCUGCUUUUGUGGGGUGCUCGAGUGGCGAACGGGUGAGUAACACGUGAGUAACCUGCCCUUGACUUUGGGAUAACUUCAGGAAACUGGGGCUAAUACCGGAUAGGAGCUCCUGCUGCACGGUGGGGGUUGGAAAGUUUCGGCGGUUGGGGAUGGACUCGCGGCUUAUCAGCUUGUUGGUGGGGUAGUGGCUUACCAAGGCUUUGACGGGUAGCCGGCCUGAGAGGGUGACCGGCCACAUUGGGACUGAGAUACGGCCCAGACUCCUACGGGAGGCAGCAGUGGGGAAUAUUGCACAAUGGGCGGAAGCCUGAUGCAGCAACGCCGCGUGCGGGAUGACGGCCUUCGGGUUGUAAACCGCUUUCGCCUGUGACGAAGCGUGAGUGACGGUAAUGGGUAAAGAAGCACCGGCUAACUACGUGCCAGCAGCCGCGGUGAUACGUAGGGUGCGAGCGUUGUCCGGAUUUAUUGGGCGUAAAGGGCUCGUAGGUGGUUGAUCGCGUCGGAAGUGUAAUCUUGGGGCUUAACCCUGAGCGUGCUUUCGAUACGGGUUGACUUGAGGAAGGUAGGGGAGAAUGGAAUUCCUGGUGGAGCGGUGGAAUGCGCAGAUAUCAGGAGGAACACCAGUGGCGAAGGCGGUUCUCUGGGCCUUUCCUGACGCUGAGGAGCGAAAGCGUGGGGAGCGAACAGGCUUAGAUACCCUGGUAGUCCACGCUGUAAACGGUGGGUACUAGGUGUGGGGUCCAUUCCACGGGUUCCGUGCCGUAGCUAACGCUUUAAGUACCCCGCCUGGGGAGUACGGCCGCAAGGCUAAAACUCAAAGGAAUUGACGGGGCCCCGCACAAGCGGCGGAGCAUGCGGAUUAAUUCGAUGCAACGCGUAGAACCUUACCUGGGUUUGACAUGGAUCGGGAGUGCUCAGAGAUGGGUGUGCCUCUUUUGGGGUCGGUUCACAGGUGGUGCAUGGCUGUCGUCAGCUCGUGUCGUGAGAUGUUGGGUUAAGUCCCGCAACGAGCGCAACCCUUGUUCACUGUUGCCAGCACGUUAUGGUGGGGACUCAGUGGAGACCGCCGGGGUCAACUCGGAGGAAGGUGGGGAUGACGUCAAGUCAUCAUGCCCCUUAUGUCCAGGGCUUCACGCAUGCUACAAUGGCUGGUACAGAGAGUGGCGAGCCUGUGAGGGUGAGCGAAUCUCGGAAAGCCGGUCUCAGUUCGGAUUGGGGUCUGCAACUCGACCUCAUGAAGUCGGAGUCGCUAGUAAUCGCAGAUCAGCAACGCUGCGGUGAAUACGUUCCCGGG
This 1343-nucleotide ribosomal RNA is filed under the name uncultured bacterium. RNAcentral describes it as "16S ribosomal RNA". It matches the Rfam family "Bacterial small subunit ribosomal RNA", at positions 28 to 1378 of the family's 1533-position model. The record is from RNAcentral.